Molecule: ribosomal RNA, 253 nt
Filed under: uncultured bacterium
Lineage: Bacteria
Description: partial 16S ribosomal RNA
Rfam family: Bacterial small subunit ribosomal RNA
Source: RNAcentral
UACGUAGGGUGCAAGCGUUGUCCGGAAUCAUGGGGCGUAAAGCGCGCGUAGGCGGCCUCAUAAGUCUGCUGUGAAAGUCAAAGGCUCAACCUUUGAAAGCCGGUGGAUACUGUGGGGCUAGAGUACGGAAGAGGCGAGUGGAAUUCCUGGUGUAGCGGUGGAAUGCGCAGAUAUCAGGAGGAACACCAAUAGCGAAGGCAGCUCGCUGGGACGUUACUGACACUGAGGCGCGAAAGCGUGGGGAGCGAACAGG